GCCGGUGUGGCGAAAUGGUAGACGCAGUCGACUCAAAAUCGACCGGGGCGACCCAUGUCAGUUCGACUCUGACCACCGGCACCA
This 84-nucleotide transfer RNA is filed under the name Cyanobacteriota bacterium. Its description in RNAcentral is "Cyanobacteria bacterium (drinking water metagenome) tRNA-Leu". It matches the Rfam family "tRNA". From Rfam's summary of the family: Transfer RNA (tRNA) molecules are approximately 80 nucleotides in length. The record is from RNAcentral. Lineage: Bacteria; Bacillati; Cyanobacteriota.